UACGUAGGGGGCUAGCGUUAUCCGGAAUUACUGGGCGUAAAGGGUGCGUAGGUGGCCCAACAAGUCAGAGGUGAAAGGCUACGGCUCAACCGUAGUAAGCCUUUGAAACUGUAGGGCUUGAGUGCAGGAGAGGAAAGUAGAAUUCCCAGUGUAGCGGUGAAAUGCGUAGAUAUUGGGAGGAAUACCAGUUGCGAAGGCGGCUUUCUGGACUGUAACUGACACUGAGGCACGAAAGCGUGGGGAGCGAACAGG
RNAcentral lists this ribosomal RNA (252 nucleotides) under uncultured bacterium. Its description in RNAcentral is "partial 16S ribosomal RNA". It matches the Rfam family "Bacterial small subunit ribosomal RNA", at positions 524 to 776 of the family's 1533-position model. RNAcentral also lists the same sequence under 1 other name. The record is from RNAcentral.